RNAcentral lists this ribosomal RNA (306 nucleotides) under Escherichia coli. Its description in RNAcentral is "partial 16S ribosomal RNA". It matches the Rfam family "Bacterial small subunit ribosomal RNA", at positions 1 to 303 of the family's 1533-position model. The record is from RNAcentral. Lineage: Bacteria; Pseudomonadati; Pseudomonadota; Gammaproteobacteria; Enterobacterales; Enterobacteriaceae.
AAAUUGAAGAGUUUGAUCAUGGCUCAGAUUGAACGCUGGCGGCAGGCCUAACACAUGCAAGUCGAACGGUAACAGGAAGCAGCUUGCUGCUUUGCUGACGAGUGGCGGACGGGUGAGUAAUGUCUGGGAAACUGCCCGAUGGAGGGGGAUAACUACUGGAAACGGUAGCUAAUACCGCAUAACGUCGCAAGACCAAAGAGGGGGACCUUAGGGCCUCUUGCCAUCGGAUGUGCCCAGAUGGGAUUAGCUAGUAGGUGGGGUAAUGGCUCACCUAGGCGACGAUCCCUAGCUGGUCUGAGAGGAUGA